RNAcentral lists this ribosomal RNA (433 nucleotides) under uncultured bacterium. Its description in RNAcentral is "partial 16S ribosomal RNA". It matches the Rfam family "Bacterial small subunit ribosomal RNA", at positions 29 to 507 of the family's 1533-position model. The record is from RNAcentral.
AACGAACGCUGGCGGCAUGCCUAACACAUGCAAGUCGAACGAGACCUUCGGGUCUAGUGGCGCACGGGUGCGUAACGCGUGGGAACCUGCCCUUAGGUUCGGAAUAACUCCCCGAAAGGGGUGCUAAUACCGGAUAAUGUCUUCGGACCAAAGAUUUAUCGCCUUUGGAUGGGCCCGCGUUGGAUUAGCUAGUUGGUAGGGUACAAGCCUACCAAGGCGACUAUCCAUAGCUGGUCUGAGAGGAUGCUCAGCCACACUGGGACUGAGACACGGCCCAGACUCCUACGGGAGGCAGCAGUGGGGAAUAUUGGACGAUGGGCGAAAGCCUGAUCCAGCAAUGCCGCGUGAGUGAUGAAGGCCUUAGGGUUGUAAAGCUCUUUUACCCGGGAUGAUAAUGACAGUACCGGGAGAAUAAGCUCCGGCUAACUACGUG